RNAcentral lists this transfer RNA (67 nucleotides) under Marmota monax (woodchuck). RNAcentral's name for it is "tRNA.Ala". Lineage: Eukaryota; Metazoa; Chordata; Mammalia; Rodentia; Sciuridae. The record is from RNAcentral.
GGUUGUGGCUCAGAGGCAGAGCGUUUGCUUAGCAUGAGUGAGGCACUGGGUUCGAACCUCAGCACCA